AUGAUCGACGAUACCAAAUUCACAAGGGUCUGUCAGGUUACAAGUUAUCAUCCUCAUGUUUCCAGGCUACAAGCAAAACUUGUUGAGUUUCAGAUUAUGCCAGGCUAUUCAAUUCAGCGAGGUCACCCACUAGAACUGCAACUGGGAUUGAGGAUGACAACCGGUCUUGCAGUGAUGUUAAUAUUGGAUCUUGGAAUGGCUAAGAGGAACGGAAGUAAGUUAAUAGUUACAUUUCUUGAUAACUUCAUCUGUGCAAGUUGCUCAAAUUUGGUGGUUGUGCGAUUGGCAUUAUGUUCUUGCUGGAAACAAGUGCGUAGUUCUGGAAAGCUGAACUGA
This 336-nucleotide ribosomal RNA is filed under the name Triticum aestivum (bread wheat). RNAcentral describes it as "partial small subunit ribosomal RNA". Lineage: Eukaryota; Viridiplantae; Streptophyta; Magnoliopsida; Poales; Poaceae. The record is from RNAcentral.